AACUAACGCUGGCGGCGUGCCUAACACAUGCAAGUCGAGCGGACACCAUUUUGUAGCAAUACAGAAGAAGUGUUAGCGGCAGACGGGUGAGUAACACGUAGGCAAUCUACCAUUCCGCCCGGGAUAACUAGCCGAAAGGUUAGCUAAUACCUGAUACGCUCAUCGAGCGGCAUCGUUUGAUGAUGAAAGCAGUAAUGCGCGGAUUGAGGAGCCUGCGGCCCAUUAGCUAGUUGGUGAGGGUAAUGGCCCACCAAGGCAACGAUGGGUAGC
Molecule: ribosomal RNA, 270 nt
Filed under: uncultured bacterium
Lineage: Bacteria
Description: partial 16S ribosomal RNA
Rfam family: Bacterial small subunit ribosomal RNA
Source: RNAcentral